This 292-nucleotide ribosomal RNA is filed under the name uncultured bacterium. RNAcentral's name for it is "partial 16S ribosomal RNA". It matches the Rfam family "Bacterial small subunit ribosomal RNA", at positions 505 to 796 of the family's 1533-position model. The record is from RNAcentral.
GUGCCAGCCGCCGCGGUAAGACGAACCUUGCUAACGUUAUUCGGAAUUACUGGGCUUAAAGGGUGCGUAGGCGGUGCAGCAAGUCGGGUGUGAAAUCCCUCAGCUCAACUGAGGAACUGCGCCCGAAACUGCUGUGCUAGAGGAAGAUAGGGGUACGCGGAACUUAGGGUGGAGCGGUGAAAUGCGUUGAUAUCCUAAGGAACACCGGUGGCGUAAGCGGCGUACUGGGUCUUUUCUGACGCUGAGGCACGAAAGCUAGGGGAGCGAACGGGAUUAGAUACCCUGGUAGUCC